This 407-nucleotide ribosomal RNA is filed under the name uncultured bacterium. RNAcentral's name for it is "partial 16S ribosomal RNA". It matches the Rfam family "Bacterial small subunit ribosomal RNA", at positions 28 to 526 of the family's 1533-position model. The record is from RNAcentral.
GACGAACGCUGGCGGGGUGCCUAAUACCUGCCAGUAGGACGCAGUUGCGAACGGGUGAGUAACGCGUAGGUAACUAGCUAUUAGAUGGGGAUAACUAUUGGAAACGAUAGCUAAUACCGCAUACUAGUAGAUGGACCUGCGUUGUAUUAGCUAGUAGGUAGGGUAAUGGCCUACCUAGGCAACGAUACAUAGCCGACCAGGAGGGGUGGGCGGCCACACUGGGACUGGGACACGGCCCAGAGUCCUACGGGAGGCAGCAGUAGGGAAUCUUCGGCAAUGGGGGGAACCCUGACCGAGCAACGCCGCGUGAGUGAAGAAGGUUUUCGGAUCUGAAAGCUCUGGUGUUAAGGAAGCGGUACUUACCCAGAAAGGGACGGCUAACUACGUGCCAGCAGCCGCGGUAAUAC